Long non-coding RNA from Cyprinus carpio (common carp), 1793 nucleotides. RefSeq lists it as uncharacterized. The record is from RefSeq and is a predicted model, not a curated record. NCBI's taxonomy places the organism in Eukaryota, Metazoa, Chordata, Actinopteri, Cypriniformes, Cyprinidae. The transcript is spliced from 2 exons.
UGGGGAUGAACACAGUCAGCAACAAGAUGGUCGAUCUUCCGGGAUUUAGAAAACAAACCAGUUACGAGUAAUUUGUAAUGAGAAAAUGGGAACAGGUGUACGGGUUAAUCGACGUGGGCUUGUGAUUGGUGACUAGACUGGUUGGAGUACUUUAAAUACCCCAGGAAACAGCAGGAUGGGAGGAAGGAGGGUGAUAUGGAGGAUUGAGGAUCAACAGGGGUGAGGACGUCGGAAAGCGGGCAAGUUGUGAAACUACAUGUUUGGACCACUUUGAGUUGAGUGAUAAAGGCAAAAGGACAUAUGGCUACAAGUGGAGCUUAGGAAUUGGAUCGGUAGUGACUGACUCUGUGGAUGUGAGGAGAUUGAAGAUAUCCCCCCUCGACAGAUAAGUGCUUUCUGUAUAUAUUGAGGAGACGGUGUAGCUAUGCUGGGAAACUAAUAGUGCUGUGAAUGUGGCUCUACACAUGGUUGGUCCUCUUCACCUUGCUCGCUGACUCCCUCGACUGGUAAAUAAGUUAGCCCUGUGUGACGGCGGACUGGCAUCUCUUAUGCGAGCUGGUUAUUUCAUGACAUAAUAAGGUAGCUGUGUGACUCCCCACUGUGGAGUGUUGUCUUGUGCCCACAGAGCCUGGAGAGCUGUUGAUGUAUAAAGUUAAGCUGCCCCAUCACUGUUACGCUCUAACCGUCGGAGUCUGGAGAGCCGUUGUGUAACAAGCUAAACUGCUUCAUCGCUGUUUCACCCCAACCGCCUGAGCCUGGAGAGCCAUUGUUGUAUCCAGUUAUACUGCCCCAUUGCUGUUACGCUCCAACUGCCUGGUGAGCCGUUGUUGUACCAAGUUGACCUCCCCCUUUGUUAUUGUUGAGCUCUAAUUGGCCGGCGAGUCUGCCAGCUCCACCGAAUUGACCUGAAAUUGGUGUAUCCCUCCCUGCACCAGCAGAGCGUAGAGAAGGACGUGCUGUAUCCAGGCCAGCCAUUUGUUGCUGUCUUAAUCCAGCAGAGACUGGUAGCCCUUCCUAACAGAACAAGUUACCUGUAGAUUGUUGACCGACAUCUGUGGAGACCAUUCGAUCUCCCUUUUAUACCACGCCGUCUGGCAAUUACUGCCCUGCAUCAGUGGAAUUCAAUAAAUGGUUCACUGCUUGAAGUCGACUUAUUUGUGCAGCCCCCCCUUCUGCAGACUUCAAAGCUCCAUCCUUUUAGACUUUUCUUGCAAAGAUAUUUAAUAAAGGAAACUUCAUUGUUUUAAACAAUCUCCUUCUUGCCCUGGUCUUUGUCGGGUAAGAUACGUGGUGCUCCCUUGGGGGGGGAAGAGAAGAGCCAGUGGCGGAAAGCGCCCCCUGCCUGUGACACUGCUGUUCCUGAACCCUGCAACUCCAAACCAUGAAGUGAGGCAGUAGUUCAAAAUGUUUUCAAUGGUUCCCCUAUAGAAGGUGGUAAGGAGAUGGUUGGGGAGACCUGCCUUUCUAAGUCACCCAGAAAUUUGAGAAGUGCACAUAUCCAAACCAGUAACCAUGGGGUACUGCACAGAUACAUUAGAGUUUACGUGCUCGCUCUAUAGCAUUUAAAUCUGGGGACUCUGAAGCCUACAAAGUCAAGAUACGAUGUUCGCAAAAGCAUUAAAUCUGCCAAAAGCAUCCUAGAUUCAGUGACUGGAAACUUACUGUUACUGAAAAUGUGGCAAGGCCUAGUACACAUCACCAUAGGCGCGGGAAGUGGGGGUGCUGAGGGUGCUGCAGCACCCCCUGUUUUUUUUUCGGUGGGCAACUGUUUAACUGUUGGAAAUAAUAGUAAA